RNAcentral lists this ribosomal RNA (1128 nucleotides) under uncultured organism. RNAcentral describes it as "bacterial SSU rRNA". It matches the Rfam family "Bacterial small subunit ribosomal RNA", at positions 299 to 1428 of the family's 1533-position model. The record is from RNAcentral.
GGUGAUCCUCCACACUGGCACUGAGACACGGGCCAGACUCCUACGGGAGGCAGCAGUGAGGAAUAUUGCGCAAUGGGCGAAAGCCUGACGCAGCCAAACCGCGUGCAGGAAGACGGUCGUAAGAUUGUAAACUGCUUUAGUAUCCCGAGGAACAAUCAGAACGAGUUUUUGAUUUGACAGUAGGAUACGAACAAGCACCGGCUAACUCCGUGCCAGCAGCCGCGGUAAUACGGAGGGUGCAGGCGUUAUCCGGAUUUACUAGGUUUAAAGGGUCUGUAGGCUGUAUAUUAAGUCAGUGGUGAAAUGUCUGAGCUUAACUGAGGACUUGCCAUUGAAACUGGUAUACUUGAGUAUGGUUGCUGUCGGCGGAAUGUAUUAUGUAGCGGUGAAAUGCAUAGAUAUGAUACAGAACACCAAUUGCGAAAGCAGCUGACAAAACCAGCACUGACGCUGAUAGACGAAAGCGUGGGGAGCGAACAGGAUUAGAUACCCUGGUAGUCCACGCAGUAAACUAUGGGCACUAGUUUUUGGCGAUAGACAGUCAGAGACAAAGCGAAAGCGUUAAGUGCCCCACCUGGGGAUUACGUUCGCAAGAAUGAAACUCAAAGGAAUUGACGGGGGCCCGCACAAGCGGAGGAACAUGUGGUUUAAUUCGAUGAUACGCGAGGAACCUUACCUGGGCUUAAAUGCUAGGCGUCUUCGGGCGUAGUCUGUAGAAAUACAGCUUAAACUUGCAAGGUGCUGCAUGGUUGUCGUCAGCUCGUGCCGUGAGGUGUCGGGUUAAGUCCCAUAACGAGCGCAACCCACAUUCUUAGUUGCCAUCAAAUAAGUUGGGCACUCUAGGAAAACUGCCAUCGUAAGAUGUGAGGAAGGUGUGGAUGACGUCAAAUCAGCACGGCCCUUAUGUCCAGGGCUACACACGUGUUACAAUGGUCGGUACAAAAGGCAGCGACCUGGUAACAGAGAGCUAAUCUUAAAAACCGGCCUCAGUUCGGAUUGGAGUCUGCAAUUCGACUCCAUGAAGUCGGAUUCGCUAGUAACCGCGUAUCAGCAAUGACGCGGUGAAUACGUUCCCGGGCCUUGUACACACCGCCCGUCAAGCCAUGGAAGCUGGGUGCACCUGAAGUC